UUUUUACAAUGGAGAGUUUGAUCCUGGCUCAGGAUGAACGCUAGCGGCAGGCUUAAUACAUGCAAGUCGAGGGGUAACAGGCCGCUUCGGUGGUGCUGACGACCGGCGCACGGGUGCGUAACGCGUAUGCAACUUGCCUCUAACUGGGGAAUAGCCCCGAGAAAUCGGGAUUAAUACCUCAUAAUAUUCAUUGAUCACAUGUUCGAUGAAUUAAAGCUCCGGCGGUUAGAGAUGGGCAUGCGUGGCAUUAGCUUGUUGGUGAGGUAACGGCUCACCAAGGCAACGAUGCCUAGGGGUUCUGAGAGGAUAUCCCCCCACACUGGUACUGAGACACGGACCAGACUCCUACGGGAGGCAGCAGUAAG
This 365-nucleotide ribosomal RNA is filed under the name Bacteroidota bacterium. RNAcentral's name for it is "bacterial SSU rRNA". It matches the Rfam family "Bacterial small subunit ribosomal RNA", at positions 1 to 358 of the family's 1533-position model. The record is from RNAcentral. Lineage: Bacteria; Pseudomonadati; Bacteroidota.